Molecule: ribosomal RNA, 2903 nt
Filed under: Escherichia coli
Lineage: Bacteria; Pseudomonadati; Pseudomonadota; Gammaproteobacteria; Enterobacterales; Enterobacteriaceae
Description: bacterial LSU rRNA
Rfam family: Bacterial large subunit ribosomal RNA
Source: RNAcentral
UUAAGCGACUAAGCGUACACGGUGGAUGCCCUGGCAGUCAGAGGCGAUGAAGGACGUGCUAAUCUGCGAUAAGCGUCGGUAAGGUGAUAUGAACCGUUAUAACCGGCGAUUUCCGAAUGGGGAAACCCAGUGUGUUUCGACACACUAUCAUUAACUGAAUCCAUAGGUUAAUGAGGCGAACCGGGGGAACUGAAACAUCUAAGUACCCCGAGGAAAAGAAAUCAACCGAGAUUCCCCCAGUAGCGGCGAGCGAACGGGGAGCAGCCCAGAGCCUGAAUCAGUGUGUGUGUUAGUGGAAGCGUCUGGAAAGGCGCGCGAUACAGGGUGACAGCCCCGUACACAAAAAUGCACAUGCUGUGAGCUCGAUGAGUAGGGCGGGACACGUGGUAUCCUGUCUGAAUAUGGGGGGACCAUCCUCCAAGGCUAAAUACUCCUGACUGACCGAUAGUGAACCAGUACCGUGAGGGAAAGGCGAAAAGAACCCCGGCGAGGGGAGUGAAAAAGAACCUGAAACCGUGUACGUACAAGCAGUGGGAGCACGCUUAGGCGUGUGACUGCGUACCUUUUGUAUAAUGGGUCAGCGACUUAUAUUCUGUAGCAAGGUUAACCGAAUAGGGGAGCCGAAGGGAAACCGAGUCUUAACUGGGCGUUAAGUUGCAGGGUAUAGACCCGAAACCCGGUGAUCUAGCCAUGGGCAGGUUGAAGGUUGGGUAACACUAACUGGAGGACCGAACCGACUAAUGUUGAAAAAUUAGCGGAUGACUUGUGGCUGGGGGUGAAAGGCCAAUCAAACCGGGAGAUAGCUGGUUCUCCCCGAAAGCUAUUUAGGUAGCGCCUCGUGAAUUCAUCUCCGGGGGUAGAGCACUGUUUCGGCAAGGGGGUCAUCCCGACUUACCAACCCGAUGCAAACUGCGAAUACCGGAGAAUGUUAUCACGGGAGACACACGGCGGGUGCUAACGUCCGUCGUGAAGAGGGAAACAACCCAGACCGCCAGCUAAGGUCCCAAAGUCAUGGUUAAGUGGGAAACGAUGUGGGAAGGCCCAGACAGCCAGGAUGUUGGCUUAGAAGCAGCCAUCAUUUAAAGAAAGCGUAAUAGCUCACUGGUCGAGUCGGCCUGCGCGGAAGAUGUAACGGGGCUAAACCAUGCACCGAAGCUGCGGCAGCGACACUAUGUGUUGUUGGGUAGGGGAGCGUUCUGUAAGCCUGUGAAGGUGUACUGUGAGGUAUGCUGGAGGUAUCAGAAGUGCGAAUGCUGACAUAAGUAACGAUAAAGCGGGUGAAAAGCCCGCUCGCCGGAAGACCAAGGGUUCCUGUCCAACGUUAAUCGGGGCAGGGUGAGUCGACCCCUAAGGCGAGGCCGAAAGGCGUAGUCGAUGGGAAACAGGUUAAUAUUCCUGUACUUGGUGUUACUGCGAAGGGGGGACGGAGAAGGCUAUGUUGGCCGGGCGACGGUUGUCCCGGUUUAAGCGUGUAGGCUGGUUUUCCAGGCAAAUCCGGAAAAUCAAGGCUGAGGCGUGAUGACGAGGCACUACGGUGCUGAAGCAACAAAUGCCCUGCUUCCAGGAAAAGCCUCUAAGCAUCAGGUAACAUCAAAUCGUACCCCAAACCGACACAGGUGGUCAGGUAGAGAAUACCAAGGCGCUUGAGAGAACUCGGGUGAAGGAACUAGGCAAAAUGGUGCCGUAACUUCGGGAGAAGGCACGCUGAUAUGUAGGUGAAGUCCCUCGCGGAUGGAGCUGAAAUCAGUCGAAGAUACCAGCUGGCUGCAACUGUUUAUUAAAAACACAGCACUGUGCAAACACGAAAGUGGACGUAUACGGUGUGACGCCUGCCCGGUGCCGGAAGGUUAAUUGAUGGGGUUAGCCGCAAGGCGAAGCUCUUGAUCGAAGCCCCGGUAAACGGCGGCCGUAACUAUAACGGUCCUAAGGUAGCGAAAUUCCUUGUCGGGUAAAUUCCGACCUGCACGAAUGGCGUAAUGAUGGCCAGGCUGUCUCCACCCGAGACUCAGUGAAAUUGAACUCGCUGUGAAGAUGCAGUGUACCCGCGGCAAGACGGAAAGACCCCGUGAACCUUUACUAUAGCUUGACACUGAACAUUGAGCCUUGAUGUGUAGGAUAGGUGGGAGGCUUUGAAGUGUGGACGCCAGUCUGCAUGGAGCCGACCUUGAAAUACCACCCUUUAAUGUUUGAUGUUCUAACGUUGACCCGUAAUCCGGGUUGCGGACAGUGUCUGGUGGGUAGUUUGACUGGGGCGGUCUCCUCCUAAAGAGUAACGGAGGAGCACGAAGGUUGGCUAAUCCUGGUCGGACAUCAGGAGGUUAGUGCAAUGGCAUAAGCCAGCUUGACUGCGAGCGUGACGGCGCGAGCAGGUGCGAAAGCAGGUCAUAGUGAUCCGGUGGUUCUGAAUGGAAGGGCCAUCGCUCAACGGAUAAAAGGUACUCCGGGGAUAACAGGCUGAUACCGCCCAAGAGUUCAUAUCGACGGCGGUGUUUGGCACCUCGAUGUCGGCUCAUCACAUCCUGGGGCUGAAGUAGGUCCCAAGGGUAUGGCUGUUCGCCAUUUAAAGUGGUACGCGAGCUGGGUUUAGAACGUCGUGAGACAGUUCGGUCCCUAUCUGCCGUGGGCGCUGGAGAACUGAGGGGGGCUGCUCCUAGUACGAGAGGACCGGAGUGGACGCAUCACUGGUGUUCGGGUUGUCAUGCCAAUGGCACUGCCCGGUAGCUAAAUGCGGAAGAGAUAAGUGCUGAAAGCAUCUAAGCACGAAACUUGCCCCGAGAUGAGUUCUCCCUGACUCCUUGAGAGUCCUGAAGGAACGUUGAAGACGACGACGUUGAUAGGCCGGGUGUGUAAGCGCAGCGAUGCGUUGAGCUAACCGGUACUAAUGAACCGUGAGGCUUAACCUU